This 467-nucleotide ribosomal RNA is filed under the name uncultured bacterium. RNAcentral describes it as "partial 16S ribosomal RNA". The stretch from base 55 to 467 matches the Rfam family "Bacterial small subunit ribosomal RNA", at positions 36 to 506 of the family's 1533-position model. The record is from RNAcentral.
GGGGGGGGGGGGGGGGGGGGUUGGGGGGGGGGGGUGGGGGGGAGGGGCCCGGGUUUGGGGGGGUGGGCGGGUGGCGGGCGGGUGAGUAACCCGUGGGUAACCUGCGCUUGACUUUGGGAUACCGUCAGGAAGCUGGGGCUAAUACCGGAUCGGGGCUCCUGCUGCGUUGGGGGGGUUGGCAGUUUUCGGCGGGUGUGGAUGGACUCGCGGCUUAUCCGCUUGUUGGUGGGGUGGUGGCUUACCAAGGCUUUGACGGGUAGCCGGCCUGAGAGGGUGACCGGCCACAUUGGGACUGAGAUACGGCCCAGACUCCUACGGGAGGAAGCAGUGGGGAAUAUUGCACAAUGGGCGGAAGCCUGAGGCAGCAACGCCGCGUGCGGGAUGACGGCCUUCGGGUUGGAAACCGCUUUCGCCUGUGACGAAGCGUGAGUGACGGUAAUGGGGAAAGAAGCACCGGCUAACUACGU